GCUGUGAUGGCUGAGGGGUUAAGGCGUUGGACUUGAAAUCCAAUGGGGUCUCCCCACGCAGGUUCAAUCCCUGUUUGCACGUUGCU
Non-coding RNA from Chiloscyllium plagiosum (whitespotted bambooshark), 86 nucleotides. NCBI's taxonomy places the organism in Eukaryota, Metazoa, Chordata, Chondrichthyes, Orectolobiformes, Hemiscylliidae. The record is from the annotation of a RefSeq genome assembly.